RNAcentral lists this ribosomal RNA (771 nucleotides) under Aureoboletus viscidipes. RNAcentral describes it as "eukaryotic LSU rRNA". It matches the Rfam family "Eukaryotic large subunit ribosomal RNA", at positions 100 to 862 of the family's 3401-position model. The record is from RNAcentral. Lineage: Eukaryota; Fungi; Basidiomycota; Agaricomycetes; Boletales; Boletaceae.
GGGAAGAGCUCAAAUUUUGAAUCUGGCGGUCUUCUGGCCGUCCGAAUUGUAAUCUAGAGAAGUGUUUUCCGUGCUGGACCGUGUACAAGUCUCCUGGAAGGGAGCGUCAUAGAGGGUGAGAAUCCCGUCUUUGACACGGACUACCAGUGCUAUGUGAUGCACUCUCGACGAGUCGAGUUGUUUGGGAAUGCAGCUCAAAAUGGGUGGUAAAUUCCAUCUAAAGCUAAAUACAGGCGAGAGACCGAUAGCGAACAAGUACCGUGAGGGAAAGAUGAAAAGAACUUUGGAAAGAGAGUUAAACAGUACGUGAAAUUGCUGAAAGGGAAACGCUUGAUGUCAGUCACGUCGGUCAGGGAUCAACCUUGCUUCAUUGCUGGGUGCAUUUCCUGGUUCCGAUGGGUCAGCAUCAGUUUCAAGUUCAUCGUACAAUGGCAAAGGGAAUGUGGCACUCUUCGGGGUGUGUUAUAGCCUUUCGUCGUAUGCGGUGGUUGGGACUGAGGAACUCGGCACGACCUUCAGGUCUGUGUCUAGGAUGCUGGCAUAAUGGCCUUAAGCGACCCGUCUUGAAACACGGACCAAGGAGUCUAACAUGCCUGCGAGUGUUUGGGUGCUAAAACCCAGGCGCGCAAUGAAAGUGAAAGUCGAGACCUCUGUCAUGGAGGGCAUCGACGCCCGGACCUAAGUCUCUGACAAAGGAUCUGCGGUAGAGCAUGUAUGUUGGGACCCGAAAGAUGGUGAACUAUGCCUGAAUAGGGUGAAGCCAGAGGAAAC